Non-coding RNA from Meleagris gallopavo (turkey), 2043 nucleotides. The record is from RefSeq and is a predicted model, not a curated record. Lineage: Eukaryota; Metazoa; Chordata; Aves; Galliformes; Phasianidae.
GACUGCCACUGGGGCAGGAUCUCUUUCUGGAGAUCCCUUCUCUGUGGAGUCUUUCCUGCAAAACUAGAUCUUUGGAUACAGGUGGUGAUCUGCUGCCAGAAUAAAUAAAUUUCAGGAAGUGCCAAGGCUGCUUAGCCAUUUACUGUGAUAUCACUCCUAUGUAAGGAACUUGUAUCACCAACUUUCUUCAAGUAUCUCCUCUAUUAUGGUACAAUAGAGUGCAGAAUAAUUCUGCUGAAGACAACACUAUUACUGCAGGAGAAAAGCUAAGCUUGGCUCAUGAAGAGCAGAGAUCUUUCCUAUUUUCCCUUAUGGAAACUGUCAUUCACAAGAAGACACGGAGGGAAAAGGAACAACGUUAAGGAAAAAAGAAGGUAUAGGAGUGGGAGGCUGCCAUGGUGAUGACCAACCUUCCACUGCUUUAAGUCCUUAAGUGUAUUACAUUCUAUAUUCUGGAUUUAAUUAUGGUGCUGGAGUGUAAUGCUAAUAACACUGCACAGUUUUAUCUUCUCUCUCUGUCUGAUGUACAUCUAAUUAAAAUAGGCAUUAAUUAAUAUGUGCUGAACUUUAGGUGAUUAAAGUAUUAUAAAUAAUAUAUUAUAAUUUAUAGCACAUGCAUCAUUGUAAAACAGUUUAAAUUAAUGUCACCAACUAAGAUGUGACAAUUCUUGAAUGCAUUGCCUGGCAGGGAGCAGAGCAGUGUAAAGUGACUCCCCACAUCUCCAUGUCCCAGCACUCAGUAAGAGGUCAGUUUAGCUGCCAGUCCCUGGGCUUCUUUCUCAAGCCAUCUGCUCUAUAUAAGAUGCAGGUUUUGACCAGGACGUUUUUUAUGUCUUUGUGCUUUUAGUUCUCUAAUUAUCCCACAGCAUCAAUGUCCUUUUGUUGCGGGUGAUACAUGGGAGAUAAUUGAAUAUUGAAAUCGUUUUUAUUAACUUUCACAGGAGGCUUAUGUAAGUUUUAUCUUUGCAUCCAUAUAAUAGUUAUGAUUAAGGAUGUACACCGUCAGCGAACUAGAUCUCUUGGUCUUGAGUACCUAUUUAGAGGAUAAAUCAAAUGGGCACUAAAUAUGCUUGUGAAUAGAAUAUGUUAGUACUAGGUCUAUGCAAGAGCCAAGGCUACCUUGCUGCUAAAUAGGGAAAGUCAUGUUCAAAGCAGACAGACGUUUAAAUGAUCAGCACAGUGGUGCUACCCUAACAUACAUCUCUGGGAUGACAAUGUCUUCUCUUUCACACUCCUGCUGAGAGGAUGAGACCUCCAUGCCAGGAGUAAUCUCCUUCAGAUCUCCUUCAGGUGAAUUAUUAUACCGGACACUCGUUUAGCUUUCAAGGAAAGGGUUAAAGAUAUACUUUUCAAAACGACUUAUCUGUUCCGGCCUUCCACUCCCAUCCCCUCCAUACACACAGUAAAAGCUUCCUGUUAUAGAAAGGACUCAAAUCAAACACACUGGCUACUCAGUUUUGUGAAUCUACGUCCAGUUUUCUGACCUACUAUUUGGUAGCGAUUCCUUCUUAGAAUCACCAUGGCAGCAAUACUUAACUCAUUCUGGUAAAAAUAAAUAAUAAUAAUAAAAAGGUUUUUAGGCACUUUGUCUAUGAAGCGCCAUGCCAGUAGAAAAAGAAGAUAAAUUUUGUAAUUUAUUUCAUGACAACACAAUAUUGGAAGCCUGCAAUCAGUGGGAAGUAAAAACCUUCAAAAAUAAAGCUACUAGGUGAUAAGUUAGAAUUACUGGUUGUCACAUCUAUCCACUGCUUUUAUCCAUAACUGUUCUUUUCCCUGUGUAAAAGUAUGGCUUUAUUAGAGUACACUGGGGCCCUUUAGACAGCAUAAAGACCUCAGGGUUCCCAAGUUAAUGACUGGUAUUAAUUACCACCAAUAUACAAAUUUCCAAAAUCACAUACCAGUUGCUGUGUUUUAUCUGAGGUAUAUGUAAAAUUCCAGUCUCUUACCUCGGCUUCAUGUACCAAGAGUUCCUCUAGGACAAGGCCACUUACAGGUGCCUUGGAUAGAUGGAUCUGUUUGGCUGCUAAAAGUUUUUGCAGUAAA